RNAcentral lists this ribosomal RNA (468 nucleotides) under uncultured bacterium. RNAcentral's name for it is "partial 16S ribosomal RNA". It matches the Rfam family "Bacterial small subunit ribosomal RNA", at positions 28 to 507 of the family's 1533-position model. The record is from RNAcentral.
GACGAACGCUGGCGGCGUGCUUAACACAUGCAAGUCGAACGGAAAGGCCCUGCUUUUGUGGGGUGCUCGAGUGGCGAACGGGUGAGUAACACGUGAGUAACCUGCCCUUGACUUUGGGAUAACUUCAGGAAACUGGGGCUAAUACCGGAUAGGAGCUCCUGCUACAUGGUGGGGGUUGGAAAGUUUCGGCGGUUGGGGAUGGACUCGCGGCUUAUCAGCUUGUUGGUGGGGUAGUGGCUUACCAAGGCUUUGACGGGUAGCCGGCCUGAGAGGGUGACCGGCCACAUUGGGACUGGGAUACGGCCCAGACUCCUACGGGAGGCAGCAGUGGGGAAUAUUGCACAAUGGGCGGAAGCCUGAUGCAGCAACGCCGCGUGCGGGAUGACGGCCUUCGGGUUGUAAACCGCUUUCGCCUGUGACGAAGCGUGAGUGACGGUAAUGGGUAAAGAAGCACCGGCUAACUACGUG